RNAcentral lists this unclassified non-coding RNA (381 nucleotides) under uncultured fungus. RNAcentral describes it as "partial contains small subunit ribosomal RNA, internal transcribed spacer 1, and 5.8S ribosomal RNA". The stretch from base 1 to 73 matches the Rfam family "Eukaryotic small subunit ribosomal RNA", at positions 1759 to 1831 of the family's 1831-position model. Lineage: Eukaryota; Fungi. The record is from RNAcentral.
GCAAACUUGGUCAUUUAGAGGAAGUAAAAGUCGUAACAAGGUUUCCGUAGGUGAACCUGCGGAAGGAUCAUUAUUGAAUAACUUGGUACUCGAUGCUGGCCUUUCGAGGCAUGUGCUCGUGCCAUCUUAUUUAUCUUCUCUUGUGCACCUCUUGUAGUCUUUGAAUCACUGAAGUGGGUCUUAUGCGCUAUAAAAUGCGGUUUGGGGGCUUGAACGGUUCAUUCCUUUCUGCUCCUGUUCUACUUCGGUUUUUUGAAGGCUAUGUUUCAUAUACCCUAUUAAAAGUUACAGAAUGUCAUCUUUAUUGGCUUGACCGCCUUUAAAACCUAUACAACUUUCAGCAACGGAUCUCUUGGCUCUCCCAUCGAUGAAGAACGCAGC